Pelobates cultripes (western spadefoot toad) is the source of this 326-nucleotide non-coding RNA. Lineage: Eukaryota; Metazoa; Chordata; Amphibia; Anura; Pelobatidae. The record is from the annotation of a GenBank genome assembly.
GUUAAGUGUCUGAAUAUUAAUGUCAAUGAUUUCAGUUUCUCUCUUAAAGAUAUUUGCAAUGUGAAAGGUUUUCACACAAAUCCAAGUUUUGAUUAAAGUUGUGUUCUUAUAACCGAACAGUGUUAAUCCUCUCAAGGGGGUGGUUAUUGGUUAAAGGAACACAAACCUGUAUUCCUGACCCUAUAGUGUUAAAACCACCAUCUAGCCCCCCUGGGCCCCUCAUUGCCUCCCUAAAUAUAGCAACAUCUUACAUGUACUCAAGCCUGAAGCUGCUGGCUCUGCACUGUCUGCCUACAUCAUUAGAAGUGGUAGCCUGAUCCAAUCAC